Oncorhynchus keta (chum salmon) is the source of this 1003-nucleotide long non-coding RNA. RefSeq lists it as uncharacterized. The record is from RefSeq and is a predicted model, not a curated record. Lineage: Eukaryota; Metazoa; Chordata; Actinopteri; Salmoniformes; Salmonidae. The transcript is spliced from 2 exons.
AUAACACCCCACUGAAGGUUUAGAAGCCCUGCGGUCUGAGGGUUUAGAAGCCCUGAGGUCUGAGGGUUUAGAAGCCCUGAAGGUUUAGAAGCCCUGAGGUCUGAGGGUUUAGAAGCCCUGAAGGUUUAGAAGCCCUGAAGGUUUAGAAGCCCUGCGUUCUGAGGGUUUAGAAGCCCUGCGGUCUGAGGGUUUAGAAGCCCCAAGCCCCGAGGGUUUAGAAGCCCCGAGGGUUUAGAUGCCCCGAGGGUUUAGAUGCCCCGAGGGUUUAGAUGCCCCGAGGGUUUAGAUGCCCCGAGGGUUUAGAUGCCCCGAGGGUUUAGAAGCCCCGAGGGUUUAGAAGCCCCAAAGGUUUAGAAGCCCCAAAGGUUUAGAAGCCCCAAAGGUUUGGAAGUCCUGAGGUCUGAAUACACAUUUUUCAUGAACAAUAAACUGAAGUACUCUUGACUGAAAGAGCUGUGUAUACACAGCAGCCCUUACUAUGCCAGUCCUCAUUACCCACAGGGCUCAAUUAACACUUAAGCCUGCUAACAGCCUGCGAAGCUGUAAAAUAACAAAAUGGAAAACAGCUAUAAAUACACCUCCUAAUUGUCUUGCCUUCUACUUGACUCCAUUCGCUUCAUUGGACUCCUGUCUAAAUGUACGAUUCUGUGUCUUGUGGCAGAAAAACAUCAAGCCAUGGUGACAUCCCAAUAACCUUCCUCCUCAUGUGUUCCCUCGUUCACUACUCCCAAGUUUUAAAGCAUUAGAUUGGUGUAAGGCACGCGCUAGAGGGAGUUCCCAUAAACCGGUCAAUUCUUCUAAAUUCCAUGGAGGGAAGUGAGUGCACUCUUCAGGAGAAACAAGACCGGGAUGUAACCCAAAGCUACUUUGCCCCUAAGGGCUACCGUACAAACCACCCAUCCAUCCCACAAUCCCCCAGGAACCAGCAACGACACCGGGAGAAAACAGUCUGACCAGUCUUUAAUUGUCAUCAUAUUUGAAUUAUAUAACAGUACAUAAAACA